Molecule: long non-coding RNA, 268 nt
Filed under: Setaria viridis
Lineage: Eukaryota; Viridiplantae; Streptophyta; Magnoliopsida; Poales; Poaceae
Description: long non-coding RNA (SVIR_LNC010929)
Source: RNAcentral
CUUCAUCAUGUUGUAUUCCAGAAAUGAGUUCCUGUGGUCCCUUAACUUUGGCCAGUCAUUAAAAUCUGGAGUUCAGCCCUUCUUGAUAAAGUUGGCAUCCAGAUUCUUCUUAAAGGUUUGGAAUUGGGUUGCCAUCUUCUUCAGCGUCCAGUCUUUCAGAACUUUUUCUUCGACACUAUCAAGAAGUGUGAAGUGUUUCUUGACAUUUGCCCACAACAUAUCCUUCUGUGUCUGUGGGAGCACGUAUGGAUCAUUUUGUUUACCCUUC